RNAcentral lists this ribosomal RNA (483 nucleotides) under uncultured bacterium. RNAcentral describes it as "partial 16S ribosomal RNA". It matches the Rfam family "Bacterial small subunit ribosomal RNA", at positions 30 to 507 of the family's 1533-position model. The record is from RNAcentral.
UUGAACGCUGGCGGCAGGCCUCACACAUGCAAGUCGCGCGGAUGAAGGGAGCUUGCUCCUGGAUUCAGCGGCGGACGGGUGAGUAAUGCCUAGGAAUCUGCCUGGUAGUGGGGGAUAACGUCCGGAAACGGGCGCUAAUACCGCAUACGUCCUGAGGGAGAAAGUGGGGGAUCUUCGGACCUCACGCUAUCAGAUGAGCCUAGGUCGGAUUAGCUAGUUGGUGGGGUAAAGGCCUACCAAGGCGACGAUCCGUAACUGGUCUGAGAGGAUGAUCAGUCACACUGGAACUGAGACACGGUCCAGACUCCUACGGGAGGCAGCAGUGGGGAAUAUUGGACAAUGGGCGAAAGCCUGAUCCAGCCAUGCCGCGUGUGUGAAGAAGGUCUUCGGAUUGUAAAGCACUUUAAGUUGGGAGGAAGGGCAGUAAGUUAAUACCUUGCUGUUUUGACGUUACCAAUAGAAUAAGCACCGGCUAACUUCGUG